Molecule: transfer RNA, 56 nt
Filed under: Stegodyphus mimosarum
Lineage: Eukaryota; Metazoa; Arthropoda; Arachnida; Araneae; Eresidae
Rfam family: tRNA
About the family: Transfer RNA (tRNA) molecules are approximately 80 nucleotides in length.
Source: Rfam by way of RNAcentral
UGGUGUAACAGUAGCACACUCGGCUCGUAUUCGAGAGGUCCAGGUUCGAGUCCCGG